UAGGAUCCAUGACUCGUUGCUUUUCAGAGACUUUCUCUUCAAGCUCAAUUUUCCUCCCACUGCCUCUAUUAAGGAUAAACUGAUUUUCCAAGAAGAUGGCAUGACGGCUCACAAACACAUUGUGAUCCUCUGAGACGUAAAAAUUGUAUCCUAAUGACUCUUUAGGAUAUCCUAUAAAACGAGCACUUAUGGUCCUAGCCUCUAACUUGUCUGCCUGUAGUCGCUUGACGUGGGCCGGACAUCCCCAAAUCUUG
This 254-nucleotide long non-coding RNA is filed under the name Phoenix dactylifera (date palm). Its description in RNAcentral is "long non-coding RNA (PDAC_LNC012931)". Lineage: Eukaryota; Viridiplantae; Streptophyta; Magnoliopsida; Arecales; Arecaceae. The record is from RNAcentral.